GCCCCAUUAGCUCAGCUGGAUAGAGCUGCAGACUUCUAAUCUGUCGGUCGGAGGUUCGAGUCCUCCAUGGGGCG
This 74-nucleotide transfer RNA is filed under the name Propionibacteriaceae bacterium. Its description in RNAcentral is "tRNA-Arg". It matches the Rfam family "tRNA". Rfam says of the family: Transfer RNA (tRNA) molecules are approximately 80 nucleotides in length. Their secondary structure includes four short double-helical elements and three loops (D, anti-codon, and T loops). Lineage: Bacteria; Bacillati; Actinomycetota; Actinomycetes; Propionibacteriales; Propionibacteriaceae. The record is from RNAcentral.